Molecule: long non-coding RNA, 965 nt
Filed under: Astyanax mexicanus (Mexican tetra)
Lineage: Eukaryota; Metazoa; Chordata; Actinopteri; Characiformes; Acestrorhamphidae
Description: lncRNA (ENSAMXG00005016568.1)
Source: RNAcentral
GUUUUUUUAAUUUGAUCAUACAACAAUAUGCUAUACUCGCUAAUAUAAAAUAUCUGUACAAUAGAGACAGUUACUGCAACAAAAGCAGAAUAGUAUUUUUUAUACCCUUGAUUUCAGACAAAACAAUGAAUGCACAGGCGUCCCAAUACUUUUGUCCAUGAAGUGUACUAACUGUGUGCUCUUGUGCUUAUAGAUUUAAUCACAGCCAAGUCAGUAAUGGCCACACAAAAACAGCAACGGACAAAACAGCUCAGACCACCGUCUCGCAUCGGCCGGGAUCUCCGAGCUGCUUUACUACAUCUCAAAAAUGGACAAAGGACUAAACACCCGCAGGCCUUUCCACAGCGAGGGGAACUCCCUUCUGCCGCAGGCCUGUUGCUUUAUCCAGAUAAGAAAGAGAAGAUGGUGACAACAACAGAGAUAGCGUUUGGGCCGAAAACCUGCACCAAGACUGAGCCAAUAAAAAUUCUACAGUGCAAUCUAGUCCUGGAAGGGGACAGAACCUUUGUCACGACCCACAGAGAGGCUUUUCAAGCUCAGCCUCAAGAUGAUGGGGCUCCUCUGAUGGUGAAGACAGCCUCCGGAAGAGCGGAGAGGACGCCAACGCCGCACUUUCAAACCAACUACCAGAAGAACUUUCCUCAGCCACGGGGCAUUUACAAGAGGAGACUGCAAGUCCUGCCCUGCCCAGAUAACCUCGCCGUCAAUCCUGCACUGAGGCAAGAGGGUCCACUGUGCAAAUACACAAAUAAUCCAACAUCAUUCACUGCAGGGGUUCCCACACUCUGUCCAGUACAAAUACAAAUCUGAUAUAUGGCCAUAUAUGCAAACACUUGUGUAUCAUACAGAAUUGGGCCUAGAUUUCAAAAGAUAUUUACACAUACAUUAGCAAUAAGCAAGUAUAAUUUGAUACCAGCAUACAUGUUUGAUUGAAUAAAGUAGAGGACAGUGAGAGAUUAAAGACA